Molecule: ribosomal RNA, 878 nt
Filed under: Phaeosphaeriopsis obtusispora
Lineage: Eukaryota; Fungi; Ascomycota; Dothideomycetes; Pleosporales; Phaeosphaeriaceae
Description: LSU rRNA
Rfam family: Eukaryotic large subunit ribosomal RNA
Source: RNAcentral
UAAGCAUAUCAAUAAGCGGAGGAAAAGAAACCAACAGGGAUUGCCCUAGUAACGGCGAGUGAAGCGGCAACAGCUCAAAUUUGAAAUCUGGCUCUUUCAGAGUCCGAGUUGUAAUUUGCAGAGGGCGCUUUGGCAUUGGCAGCGGUCCAAGUUCUUUGGAACAGGACGUCACAGAGGGUGAGAAUCCCGUACGUGGUCGCUAGCCCUUGCCGUGUAAAGCCCCUUCGACGAGUCGAGUUGUUUGGGAAUGCAGCUCUAAAUGGGAGGUAAAUUUCUUCUAAAGCUAAAUACUGGCCAGAGACCGAUAGCGCACAAGUAGAGUGAUCGAAAGAUGAAAAGCACUUUGGAAAGAGAGUCAAAUAGCACGUGAAAUUGUUGAAAGGGAAGCGCUUGCAGCCAGACUUGCCUGUAGUUGCUUAUCUGGACUUUUGUCCAGUGCACUCUUCUGCGGGCAGGCCAGCAUCAGUUUGGGCGGUUGGAUAAAGGUCUCUGUCAUGUACCUCUCUUCGGGGAGGCCUUAUAGGGGAGACGACAUGCAACCAGCCUGGACUGAGGUCCGCGCAUUUGCUAGGAUGCUGGCGUAAUGGCUGUAAGCGGCCCGUCUUGAAACACGGACCAAGGAGUCUAACAUCUAUGCGAGUGUUUGGGUGUCAAGCCCAGACGCGUAAUGAAAGUGAACGGAGGUGGGAACCCUUUGGGUGCACCAUCGACCGAUCCUGAUGUCUUCGGAAGGAUUUGAGUAAGAGCAUGGCUGUUGGGACCCGAAAGAUGGUGAACUAUGCUUGAAUAGGGUGAAGCCAGAGGAAACUCUGGUGGAGGCUCGCAGCGGUUCUGACGUGCAAAUCGAUCGUCAAAUUUGGGCAUAGGGGCGAAAGACU